CCCUUAGAUGUCCGGGGCUGCACGCGCGCUACACUGAAGGAAUCAGCGUGCUAAAACCAUUGUCGAAAGGCAUUGGUAAACCCAUUAAAAUCCUACGUGAUUGGGAUCGGGAAUUGCAAUUAUUUCCCUUGAACGAGGAAUUCCCAGUAAGUGUGGGUCAUAAGCUCGCGUUGAUUACGUCCCUGCCCUUUGUACACACCGCCCGUCGCUGCCCGGAACUGAGCCGUUUCGAGAAAGCCGGGGACCGACGCCUCGAUGGUGCGCAAGCACUUCUUGUCGAUGGAAACCAGUUUGAUCGGUAUGGCUUGAACCGGGCAAAAGUCGUAACA
This 329-nucleotide ribosomal RNA is filed under the name uncultured eukaryote. RNAcentral describes it as "partial 18S ribosomal RNA". It matches the Rfam family "Eukaryotic small subunit ribosomal RNA", at positions 1470 to 1796 of the family's 1831-position model. The record is from RNAcentral.